UACAGAGGUCCCAAGCGUUGUUCGGAUUCAUUGGGCGUAAAGGGUGCGUAGGCGGCGCGGUAAGUCGGGUGUGAAAUCUCGGGGCUUAACUCCGAAACUGCAUUCGAUACUGCCGUGCUUGAGGACUGGAGAGGAGACUGGAAUUUACGGUGUAGCGGUGAAAUGCGUAGAUAUCGGAAGGAACACCAGUGGCGAAAGCGGCUUCCUGGUCCAGCACCGACAUUCAGGCACGAAAGCGUGGGGAGCAAACAGG
RNAcentral lists this ribosomal RNA (253 nucleotides) under uncultured bacterium. Its description in RNAcentral is "partial 16S ribosomal RNA". It matches the Rfam family "Bacterial small subunit ribosomal RNA", at positions 524 to 776 of the family's 1533-position model. The record is from RNAcentral.